CCCUUAGAUGUUCUGGGCCGCACGCGCGCUACACUGACGAAGUCAGCGAGCAUGUCCUACGCCGACAGGUGCGGGGAAUCUUGUCAAACUUCGUCGUGAUGGGGAUUGAUUAUUGAAAUUCUUGAUCAUCAACGAGGAAUUCCUAGUAAGCGCAAGUCAGCAGCUUGCGUUGAUUACGUCCCUGCCCUUUGUACACACCGCCCGUCGCUACUACCGAUUGAAUGGUUUAGUGAGAUCUUCGGAUUGGCGCCACUGCGGCUCAGCAAUGGGCUCGGUGGAUGCCGCAAAGUUGAUCAAACUUGAUCAUUUAGAGGAAGUAAAAGUCGUAACA
This 331-nucleotide ribosomal RNA is filed under the name uncultured eukaryote. Its description in RNAcentral is "partial 18S ribosomal RNA". It matches the Rfam family "Eukaryotic small subunit ribosomal RNA", at positions 1470 to 1796 of the family's 1831-position model. The record is from RNAcentral.